GAUCCUGGCUCGGGAUGAACGCUAGCUACAGGCUUAACACAUGCAAGUCGAGAGGCAGCAUGGCGAUAGCUUGAUAUUGUUGAUGGCGACCGGCGCACGGGUGAGUAACGCGUAUCCAACCUGCCCUUGUCCAUCGGAUAACCCGUCGAAAGGCGGCCUAACACGAUAUGCAGUUCUCAGCAGGCAUCUAACGAGAACGAAAUGUAAAGGAGAAGGAUGGGGAUGCGU
Molecule: ribosomal RNA, 228 nt
Filed under: uncultured bacterium
Lineage: Bacteria
Description: partial 16S ribosomal RNA
Rfam family: Bacterial small subunit ribosomal RNA
Source: RNAcentral